AUCCUGGCUCAGGAUGAACGCUGGCGGCGUGCCUAACACAUGCAAGUCGAGCGAAGCACUUUGUUAGAACUUUUCGGAGGGAUGAGGAAGUGACUGAGCGGCGGACGGGUGAGUAACGCGUGGGCAACCUGCCUUACACAGGGGGAUAACAGUUAGAAAUGACUGCUAAUACCGCAUAAGACCACAUUGCCGCAUGGCAGGGUGGUAAAAACUCCGGUGGUGUAAGAUGGGCCCGCGUCUGAUUAGGUAGUUGGCAGGGUAGAGGCCUACCAAGCCUACGAUCAGUAGCCGGCCUGAGAGGGUGGACGGCCACAUUGGGACUGAGACACGGCCCAAACUCCUACGGGAGGCAGCAGUGGGGAAUAUUGCACAAUGGGGGAAACCCUGAUGCAGCGACGCCGCGUGAGUGAGGAAGUAUUUCGGUAUGUAAAGCUCUAUCAGCAGGGAAGAAAAUGACGGUACCUGACUAAGAAGCCCCGGCUAACUACGUGCCAGCAGCCGCGGUAAUACGUAG
This 514-nucleotide ribosomal RNA is filed under the name uncultured bacterium. RNAcentral describes it as "bacterial SSU rRNA". It matches the Rfam family "Bacterial small subunit ribosomal RNA", at positions 16 to 530 of the family's 1533-position model. The record is from RNAcentral.